Molecule: long non-coding RNA, 23008 nt
Filed under: Lynx pardinus (Iberian lynx)
Lineage: Eukaryota; Metazoa; Chordata; Mammalia; Carnivora; Felidae
Source: RNAcentral
CAGGAGGUGAGCCUUCAGGGCUGUGCCGAGAUGAAGAGGAGAAGGGAUAAGCCUCGCAGCUGGUAUGUAUUGGGGGUCCUAGCUGUUUGCCGGCCACUGGGUUAAGGGCUCAGUAUGUGAUAGGCCAUUUACUUCUCACAACAGACAUCAAUAGUUUCAUAUUAAAUUUCAGAAAACAGGGAUGAAGAGCAUUAACUUGGCCAAGACGCAAACCCAGAGCUUCUGUGCUUUUGCUUGGUUAUUCCUAGAUUCUGAGAUCAGGGCCCCCGUUGGGUGUUUGGCGGUUUCCUUUAAAGCCAGAGGUACCUGGCUGGCUCAGUCGAUAGAGCAUGCGAUGCUUGCUCUCGGGGUCAUGAGUUCAAGCCCUGCAUUGGGCAGGGAGCCUACUUUAAAAAAAAAAAAAAGUCUAUUUUUAAAAAAGGUUUAUUUAUUUUGAGAGAGAGAGGGGGAGAGAAAGAAUCCCAAGCAGGCUCCAUGCUGUUAGCGCAGAGCCCAGCGUGGGGCUCAGUCUCACGAACUGUGAGAUCGUGACUUGAGCCGAAGUCAAGAGUUAAAUGCUUAACCGACUAGCCACCCAGGCACCCCCCCAAAAGUAAAGUCUAUUAAAAAAACUUAAAGAUACCUUUUAUGAAACACAGCUGAUGAGAGCAUACUGUAACGAUUAUCAGUGCGGAAUCAGGAGCAAUUUACAAAGCGCUUUUUUUUUUUUUUUAAAGUAUGCUCCAUGCCUAGUGUGGAGCCCAAUGCGGGGCUUGAACUCACAACCCUGAGAUCAAGACCGGAGCUGAGAUCAAGAGUCAGACGCUUAACGUACCGAGCCACCCAGGCGCCCCAUAUGUAGUGCCUUUUUUUCCCCUCAAAUUUCCUUGCCUAUAAAAUGGAGAUAGCAAUAAUGCCUAUUGAAUAGGACUUUUCUGAGGAUUAAAUCAAAUAGUUCAUUUUAAGAUUGAGAACAGUACCUGGAUUGUAGCCUUUCUCUUUGAGGUUUAGAUGUUAUUCCUGUUGUUUGUUAGUAGUAGAAGGAGUAUAACUGAUAUUCUUUUAAAUGGUCUUUGUUGGUGAAAUAAAAAGAUCACGAUCUAUGUCAGAACCCAGUCUUACCAUUUAGUCCGUGAAAUCUCCACGGCUGGGAGCCCCUGCCCUUAACCACUGUGCUUUGUAUGUGGAAUGGUGGAAUUCUCGUGUUGAAACGUCUGGUCUCAGUCCCAACAAAGAAAGGAGAGUACUUCACUAAAUGUCCUCUCUGUUCAGGAAGAAAUGCUGAGCUCGCUGCCCGGAGGACACCACACCCCCCUGGGACUGCCUCGCAGAGACUGCGCUGCAGAGGCGGCCUAAAGAGGUAAGAACAUGGGAGCGGGGAGGAGGUGUGGAAGGCAGUGUGGCUCCCCGGGGAGAAGACGCACUUUGGACUCCGAGGGUUUCAGACCCCAGAUCUGCCACCUACUGGCUUUGUGACUGCAGCUGAGGCGUCAUCUGUACCAUGGCUCUUGAUGGGAGUUCACAAGGCCGAAAACCAGGCGAAAUGAAGAUUCAUGCAUGUGGAGCACCCAGAACGGGGCCUGGCGUGCCGUAGGUCUUCAGUAAACAUUAGUCAGCCUAGUCAUGAUGAUUAAGAGACUGCCCACAACAGACAGAAUAAAGAAGUAGGGACACUGGAAGGGGCCCACGUUGGAACCAGAAGGCUUAUAUAAACAAUUUGCUGUCCUCCCAAAAUGCCCUGUGGCUUCUGCUGCCGUCUCCUGACACCCACGGCCCAGGUGCCCCGUGCGAUCCUCUGACUCUUGCCGAUGGACUUGCUACCACGUUAUACAAGCAUUUGGGUUCCAACGUGGACCAUUGGUCCUUCUCUUUAGCUCCUGACACCCCGGCCGAAAUUGGUGGGUGGAUCACAUUAAGCGGACAGAGGGACUAUGAGAAAGCCAGGGAAGCGAUUCCCUCACCAGCGUUUACUGUUCUCUGCUGCGUGGAGCUGAAGUUGUCAGAGACUCUGCAAACUCAGUUGCACCCAGUGACUGUUCUCAGAUCUAAGCAGAGCCCUGGUGCCAGCGGACAGCCUGCCGUGCGUUGUGCUGUUGAGACUCCUGCUUCCUCUAAGAAAGGAUGUCGAGCUCUUUGAGAUUGCUGUGUCCAGGGAUCUGAGGAGACCUUAGUAACUUGACCAGUUUGCCUCCGUGAUGAAAGAGGUAAUCUUGGUAAACUUGAUGAGGGAAGGCGGCUCCUACCGAGGUGCAUCGCUACGACCCCCUCCUCCAGAGCGCCUUGACGGUAGCCACUUGCCUCAAGAGGAGGAAGAAGGGAGAGAUGAGAGGGCAAGAAUACCAGAGACCCUCUUCUUCCUCAGCCGGGUACUCUUUGGGCUCUGACAGACUUGGCCCACAUGUGAUGAGUACGCUUAAUAAAAACCUCACGUGCAGCAGCCUCGCAGAAGGUGUGGAGGCCCCGUAACUCACCCCGGUUGUCCCUGGGUCUACAGUGAGGGAAUGGGAGCCAUAUGUGAUGAGAUUGUUCACCAGACAAAGAUUUUUAGGUUUGUACAUGCUGCUCCCGCAUGUACAAAUUAUCAAACCCAAUUAAACCUCCACCCAGUGCUCGCUUCGGCAGCACAUAGACUAAAAUUGGAAUGUUACGGAGAAGAUUAGCAUGGCCCCUGCACAAAGAUGACACACAAAUGCGUGAAGCGUUCCAUAUUGUUUUAGUCAGUCAGAGAAAGACAAAUAUCAUAUGACUUCACUCAUAUGAGGACUUUAAGAGACAAAACAGAUGAACAUAAAAGAAGGGAAACAAAAAUAAUAUAAAAACAGGGAGGGGGACAAAACAGAAGAGACUCAUAAAUAUGGGGAACAAACUGAGGGUUACUGGAGGGGUCAUGGGAGGGGGGAUGGGCUCAAUGGGUAAGGGGCACUAAGGAAUCUACUCCUGAAAUCAUUGUUGCCCGAUAUGCUAACUAACUUGGAUGUAAAUUAAACAAUUAAUUAAGAAAAAACCUCCACCCAGUGAAACCUCAAAUGUGGUUAGGUCAGUUGGUUAACAACAAACACAGUCUGGAUCUUUACUGAGAAAUGUCUGGGCACUGAAAAAGUGGCUGCUGCAAAAAUAGGAAAGGCUUUUACCAAAGAUCGCUCUGGGCCCGGUCACUCAGUCCUCAAAGGAGGAGAUUGGUCUUCUGCCCACUAAGGAACUCUGGGCCCGUACCGGGUCCCGGGUCCCAUACCCCACUACGGUCUGUAUGGUGAUGGCCCUCUGCCUCUCCUGGUGAAUCAGGAGAUGAAUCAGAGAGCCCUGCGUCUUAGUGUCUUAGUUCAGGACAGAAUUAUUGGCCUGCUAUUGGGUUUUGGUGGACACUGAGCACAUGAUCGAUGGCUGUGAAGUAAUCUUAAGACCAGAAAUCCCACUCGUAUCACAGAUCUAGCAGAUAUCUCAAAUCACCUGGUGGAGGUGGUUCCAGAGUCUUCCAAACUAAAGUACAAAUGGUACAUACUGGAAUGAACAAAACUCAGCCCAGAUGAGGUCUCCUAACUCCAAGAUAAUAUCACGGGAGCAUCCGUCUGGUUCCCUGAUGUAUUGCCCAAGGAGCCACUGCCCCCACUGGCCCAGUGAGGACCCACGUGUGAAGGCUUCCUGGACCACAAUGGGCCUGGCUCACUGUCCGCUCCUCCUGGUUAACUCCUAACCAGCAGGAACGGGGUGCAGCUGCCAUCCAAGCUGAGGGAGACCUCUCCCCUGGCCGGGUGCGGUAAAGGUUGCUCAGUAUAACGGGCAGAGCUUUGUGCAGGGUGAAUGGCUGGCUAUCCAGGCCACCUCAACAAAGGAGGCUUGCUGUGUUUCCACCGACUGAUGUACUGUGGCUAAUGGCCUCGACAUUUUUUCAGGCCUCUGGCAAGACUCAGAUUGGCGUGUGGAGCGAGCCUCCCAUGGGGGCAAGGCAUUUGGGUAAAAAUCAGUUCUGCUUCUUGGGACUCAUGUGGAUGCUCACCAGAAAGACCCCUACGCUGACAAGGGGGAACAUCACAAACGAGCAGACUGUGCCGGUCAACUAAACAUGGAGACUGAAGUGUCUCAUUUACUCCAGAGCAGGCAGAUGUGCCUCUGGGGUCCACAGGAGGAUGGCCGAGUGGGAAUUCAGUGUAGGGAAGGAAAAAUUCUUUCUCUGCUGCCCUUCAAGGUCUUCCAGCAAGACUAAAUUAAAUUUCAUAAGACAGAUUAAUGGGAGAAAAAGCCAGUGUCGUUAUGUGGGCACAGAGGCCCAGUAAUGAAAUUGAGACAUCAAGAAAUGACCAAGGCAGGCAGUAUUUCUACUAUUUAGACAAAGAGACAAGAAACUUGUGAGGAAUUGACAGGAUAAAGAAAGCAGGUGUUAGAAACUUUAAUUAGUAGGGACUUCUGGGGCGCCUGGGUGGCUCAAUCGGUUGAGUGCUGACUUCAGCUCGGGUCAUGAUCUUGCGGUUCGUGAGUUUGAGCCCCGCGUCAGGCUCUGUGCUGACAGCUCAGAGCCUGGAGCCUGCUUCGGAUUCUGUGCCUCCCUCUCUCCUCCUCCCCCACUCACUCUCAGUCUCUCUCUCUCUCUCUCUGUCUCAAAAAUAAACAUUUAAAAAAAAUUUUUAAUUAGGGAAUUCUAAGCAGAAUUUAGGCUGAGGUAGUAGAUUAGGAAAAAAAAACCCCAGGGUUUGUUUCUACAGCUUUCUCAGCUUUAAAGUCUCUAUCUCUGGUCCUAACGACUUUUUUUUUUUUUUUUUUUUUUACCUCUUAGGACAAGGAGGGUAUUUUUCAUAGGGGAGAUUGGUUUCCUGCUUUCCUGGGGACAGGACGGUUUGAGUGUCCUCGCGUUGGCAGUUUCUUAACUUUUAUGUUAAAUUAUCAGUAUGCCAAAGUGGCACAUUUUGGGGUGGCCUGUCCUUGGCCCCACGUCAGAAACCAUCCUAGACCGGGCCUACGUGUGUGGACUGCCACAGCUGUCAGAAGAAAACAUAGGGAAGAAACUCCUUGAUGUUGGUUCUGACAGUGAUUUAUUGCAUGUAACACUGUAGCAGGGUUCUUGCACAGAGAGUCGGGACCCCGAGGCUUUUCUUUCCAGGAAGCAACUUUAUUCGUGCCAGCACCGCUCAGUUGGGUUUGUACCCGAAGAACUGAGCCCCAAAUGCCACGAGGCAUAGUUUUUUAUAUAUUUUUUACUUCUUUGUCUCCCAUAUAUGGUUACACACAAACAUGCAGUCUGAUUAAGUGGUCUCAUGUUACAAGGUCGUGAGGGACGUUGUCAAGUACGCGUAUAGCCAGGUUGCCUUGAGGGUUUUUUUCUUUCCUUAGGGAGGGGACCCUACCACACUCCCCGCUUUGGUGCUCAGACCCCUCUAUUUUGGGUCAAAGAGCAUCAUCUUGGUUUAGAGGUUUAUAUUUUUAUAACAUCAUUACAUGAGUGGCCGUAUUUUUUUAAAUUAUGGCCUCAGUGAGACUGGAGAGACUGUACAACCAGGGGAGCUAAGCAGGGUAGGAUUAAGCAACCUUCCAGAAUUAGGAGGAGGAUAAUUUUUAUGAGAGUUUUGACCCCCCCCCAAAAAGUUGAAAACCAUCUUCCAAAUAACUCCCUGGGGUUUUAACCAUUCCAGGUCUGGACGGGGACAUGAGCAAUUCUUUUCAUUUGAUUUGUGAUCUCUUCUAUGACUUUUUUUAUUAUUGUUUACCUGUAGGCAGCAGUUGCCUAGGUUAAACUUUUUAUAAACUUCUCCCUCCGAAGUAAGCAGGUAAUCUAAGGCCAAGUGAUUUUGAUAGAUAGCAUUGUGUAUUUUGGUUUUCUGCUUGGCUAGUAAGUUAAGAGCUCUGGCAGUUUUAUUGGUUAUAAUUAUUAUAACCGCUUGCAGUCUGAUGAUGCGGUUUAGCAUGUAAAUGGGAGUGCGGUAGCCCCAGGACCCAACCUCUGCCCAGCUGGCAGGGCCAUAAUGCUGGAUUAUAUGCUGCGGGGGGGGGGGGCGGGCAUUUAUCAUCUUUUUAAUUGCCAAUUUGUAAGACACACCACUUUUUUUGUCUCCCUGUCCCCAUGCACGUGGACUCCCAAUUGUUUCCCUCUGGCAAGUGGGAGCAGGAAGAAAGAUGGACGAAGAGUUCCCAGCACCCAUGACCGUGACCAGCCUGAGGGAAGUGCUGUAUAGGCUGUCCUUCCACAUAUCCAGUCUAGUCCCCCUGGGGCCUGCCAUUUGAUGGCUGCGUGGACACUGUCCCAGGCCUCUCAGAGAUGAGAGAAGUCGGACAAGGGGUGGGGAUCUGGCUCAAGGUGCUCUGGGGUCCCCCACCACUGGGUUUUCCAGGUGGUUGAGUUAUAAUAUCUUUGGCCUAGGCAUGGUAAGUUUUUAACAGAGAUGACGAUGAACUUUUUCCCCGCCAGGCAAGGGUUUGGGUUUUUUGAGGACCCAAACCCUGGUAGAACUGGGGUAUUUUGUUUUACUAUAAGGUUUGUGGGGAUCUGAUUUUCUAGUCUCUUAUGGCCAUUGUUUCCCCAUGUCGGUACCACGAAGUAUCCUGUCCCCAAAAGGAAGGUGAGUGCUAACAGAAACCCCUCACCACACUUCCAGCCAGCCGGGGCGGCCUCUGCCAAUCUUACGGCGAAAAGUAGAGUCAGAAUCACAAUAACAGUGAGAAACAAGGGGCGGCAGUGCAUCACAGUAAGGAAACAGAUCUAGAAAACAAGGACAGUCUAUUUGUUCCACCGGACCGUCGAUUCCCCAAGCUUCUGCCGUGCAUAGAUUAGUCAGCUUCCGGAGUGACUGAAGCAGGGAUGCAGUGUCCCCAAGCCUCUGGAGUUGCAGAUUGCUUCUUCCGCAUGGUCAGCUUGCAUGGCGUUGUUGGAUCAGGAACGCACUCCCAGUUUCAAGAUGCCGGCUUCACUCUGCUGUGAUGAAUCCAGGGACCCACCUCAGGCACCUUUACUGCAGUAGGGGUGGACAAAAUGACAGUGAUCGGGCCCCUCCGGAGGGGUUUUAGGAGUUGGACGUUCCACUCCUUUAUCCAUAUUGCGUCUCCUGGUUUAAAAGGAUGAGCGUCUGUGGUCAGACUCGCAGGUAAUCGCUCCCUAACCCAGCGGUGAAAGGUGGUUAGGGUAGAGCCAAGGGCCCCGCCAUCUGUUGCCUUAAGGUUAGACUGCCCAUCUCAUUUAGACGCCCCCACAUGCCCUUGAUAAUGGGGGGACGGCACCCAUAAAGGAUUUUAUAAAGGGAGAACCCCGUCUGCUUCUUUAGCCUCCCACCUGCAGCUGCAGUCUGCCCCCCUGAAGGUCCCUUACCUCCCCCUGCCUAAUGUUACCCCUUUCCCUAGUCAUUCCUCCCCUGGAACAGGGCCUGUAACUGCCUGUAAUGACCGCUCUGACUUCUUCAAGCUGAGAAGGGACGGUGUGGGGGCACAGCAGUUAGAGUCUGCCCGAGGGUCGGUCAAGUGGCCCACGGUGUGGUUCUACAGGGAGGCUGGCAGGCAUGAGGCGGCAUAAACAUUAGUAGGCCCCAAGAGAAAAACGUCAAGGUUAUACUCGCCAACGAGGUGGCAUCUUAAGAUGAUGUCCCCAGUUUCCAAACCUGUCAGACAAUCUAGGAGAGACCCUGCUUUGUAAAUAAUGUACGUCAGGGCAUCUCUCAUAACCCAGGUGAUGGAGGAGCGGGAGCAGUAAGUAGUCCGUGGUGGCUCUGCUUCCAAGAGUUCGGCCCUAACUUAAUUUAAAAAAAUGUUUUUUCAAGCAUCUAAUGCUUGUGAGGUGUUAUUUAGAGUUUUGCUGAGUAUAAGCAGACAGUCUGCUUUAUUUUGGGGUGUAAAACUUUUCCAAGAGCCAGGAGUUCUAGAGAAAGCGUCAAGGCAGCCAUUUACCAUUAUUCAUUUGCAAAUUUUUAGGUAAGCCAAACCUGGGUAUUAUUUUAAAAAGCAGAACUUGUAUUACUUUUUGUGCCUUUUCUGUCUUGGGGGAGAAGGCCUUUACUCCAUUCGUAAAAGUAUCAAUCCGUACCCACAGAUGUUGGGAUUCCUCUGACCUUGGCACAUGCGUGAAACCUAAUUGUUAGUCUUUCCUGGAUAGUCUCCAGUUCCUGGGUUGUCUGGGAGAGCAAGUUUGUGGUUGAAAGGAUGGUUUUUAAGACAUACUUCACAGGCUGAUACUACUUGGCAUAACUGUCCUUGACAGAUUUUUUUUCCAGCAAACAUCCUUUGGGCCAUUUGAUAAGUUUUGUCCCUCCUUAAACGAAAGGCCUAAUGUUGUGUUUUAAUGAUCUUUUUUUAAGCUCUAUGAGCUUGGUAAUAGUAAUUGCCCUGCUCUGUUUGUAACCAUUUCUUUUUUUUUUUUUUUUAAUUUUUUUUUUCAACGUUUAUUUAUUUUUGGGACAGAGAGAGACAGAGCAUGAACGGGGGAGGGGCAGAGAGAGAGGGAGACACAGAAUCGGAAACAGGCUCCAGGCUCCGAGCCAUCAGCCCAGAGCCCGACGCGGGGCUCGAACUCACGGACCGCAAGAUCGUGACCUGGCUGAAGUUGGACGCUUAACCGACUGCGCCACCCAGGCGCCCCUGUUUGUAACCAUUUCAAGGGAGGGAGACAGUGUCUAGGAGUCAGACCCCAGUUUAUUUUUGGGGGGAGAGUAGGUGGGAUUGAGUCUCCGUUAAUAAUUGAUGUAGCAGGCAAACUAUUUUCCUGAACCCUGGUAUCUACAGCCAAAAUGAGAUGGGCAGUCUAACCUUAAGGCAAUAUCCAGUAAUUUUCCAAAACUCAUAAUACAAUUGUUUAUUUGUUCUGGAAUUAGUAGUCCUGUAGUCUCUGAUUUAGUUAUAAUGUCCCUUCCUAGCAAGGGAGUAAGGCUCUCUGGUAUUAUCAAGAAAGAAUGAGAAAAAAUUUCCCAUAUGUAUCCCAAGGGCUGAGAGAAAACCUUAGAAGUUUUCCAGAGAUGCCUCUAAUCGUCAUGCUGCGUUUGGACGGUUGGCCUGGAGAGGAAAGGAGGACAGAAAAGGUAGCUCUGGUGUUAAGAAGGAAAUCAACCAGUUUUCCUUCUAUACUUAGAGUUACCCGAGGCUCUGGGUUUCUGAUAGACAGUUGGUUUAGGGGAGCCACCGUGAAGAGCCCGAGGCCCCGUCAGUCCCUUCCAGGGACAUUGGUUAUCUGAGCCCUCACAGAUAGAGGUCUCCGAGGGCAUUCAGAUCUCCAGUCACUGUCUCCACACAAGGGGCACGGCUUAUGAGGUUUUCGUUUUGGUUGUCCCCUCUGAGGGCAUUCUCAUUUUAGUGCUCUGAACAGCCAUAUAAAUGGCACUUGGUGCCAGGACCUCCGGAAGUCCAGUCUGACACAACUAAGGCCUCAGAUUUUUUUAAGCCUGCUUUUCUGUUUGUGUGUUUUUUUUUAUUCUUAUUCUCCUUUUGAUCUUGGUUGUAAUAUACUCAAUUGGCAGCUCGUAAGAGCUCCUCCAGGGUCCCUUCCGGACCAACAGCCAGUUUUUACAGUUUUCUCUGAAUAUCUGGGGCCCAUCAAGUGACAGAUUUGUCUUUUAGAAUCCUCUCAGCCUCAGGGUGUUAGGGGAGAUAACCAUAUAUUUAAUGAGAGCCUCCCUUAACCUUUCCAGGAAGGCCACCGGGGUUUUAUUUUGUAUCUGAAGAUAGUGGUGAAAUCAGUGUAAUUUAAAGGUUUACCUUAGACCUCCCGACCAUAUAUAAAGUUUUUUUUAAGAUUUUUUUUUGGCAAACUUUUAACAACUUUCCUUGGCUUUUAGAUUUUGACCUAAGCCUUUUUUUUUAAACAACCAGUCUCAUUUAGGACAAAAUUCCUCCUUUUUUUUUUAACCUUUAACAAAAAAAAUAUUUCCAUUUCUUAUAUUUUUUUAUAUAUCUACUCCUUUACACGUAGAGUUGUUUUUAAAUUUUAUUCUUUUUUAAAAAAAAUUUUAUUCUUAACUACAUUUACCAGAAUUUUAACUCUUAGAAACCUUAGUCUCCAGUGAAAACUAAGUAGUAACCAACUGUGAACUGUUACAUUAGAAUUUCUUAGAUGGCAAACUUAUGAAUCAAUUAAGCACAAAGCAGUUUUUCAACAGAUCCAAAUAGCCUUGGUAUUUCCGCAACAAGUCAAAAGCACAGACCUGCAUCUAGUAAUUAGUGCUCUAGCCUCUUGUUAGAUAUCCAAUGAAUUUAAUCCCAAUUUGUUAUGCAAGCAAAAACUUUAAUGUUUUAGAUUACCAAAGACUUUGAAAGCUAUCUUAACAAUUACCCAUGAAAACUAUGAGACAGAUAAAGUUAACCAUUACUUUAAGUCAUCUUUUUGCUAACAAAUUGGAACAGAGAUAACAUGAGCUUAUUUGACCUUCAGCAAAUCUAGGUAGACUAAAAGUUGUUGUUUUUUUAAAUGUUGACAAACAUUGUCUCAAACCAACAAACUUAAAUUAGCUUAAACACAAUACAUGUUACUUGGGUCCACUUAAGACCGUUUGUUCCCCAUGGUUAAUUUUUACCUGGACCAGUUGGUAGGGUAAUCUGAAGUUGGUGAUCUUGGCUCCAGGACAUCUAGGGGGGCAGGGGGAGCUGAUGGUGUCUGACGCAUCGAGGAGCCAGUUGUGCAGGCCGCCCCCCCAGGUGGUGCAGAAACAGGAGGGGGGAAGAGAAGGCAGAAGAGGCGAGGUGCCAGCAGAAGGCAGAGAAAGAGAAUUCCCAGCUUAUCUUGUCCGCUCAGACAGAGCAGCAGACUCCAGGUUUCUUUUGUUUUGUUUUGUUUUGUUCUCCGCUAGUGGAAUUAGGCAGUCCAUGUCGGUUCGGAAAAGUCAGGGAAUUUCCCCGAAACAAGGGGAGUUUUGCAGCUGCUUGGGAAUGUUCCUUAAAGUCCCCGUUCUGAGGUAGACCAGCCAGAGACAGUUGGCUCUAAUUAUCGUAGUCAUUGACCCAGGAAACGAACGAGAGACAAGUCCCCACACACAGUCACAUAGCAACAUCCCACCGCCUCCAACCUGCCACCCAGUGCCCAGCGCCUUAGAGUUGCAGCGUCGUUCCUCGUCCCUUGUAGAACUACCAGGGCAACUCGGAGGUGAUCAGGCUCCCCUUCUGCCUCUUAGGGGCAGGUCUGCCAAAACGAACCCGGGUUCUUACCAGUCUGACGGGUGGCGCUCCUUAAGCUGGUUCCUGGGCCUCACGGGUUCCGUUGACGCACAUGGGGUCCUCGCCCCAGCACCUCUCCCGGCACUCCGAGGUUCGUAUCCCGGUGGCGAAGGAGGUGGAAACGCACCAGCUCCGAAUCCCGGGUGAGCCCCCAAGUAAUAGAGCAGGAUUCUCUCACAGAGAAUCAUGACCCCGAGGCUUUUCUUUCCAGGAAGCAACUUUAUUCGUGCCGGCACCACUCAGUUAGGUUGGUACCCGAAGAACUGAUCCCUGAACACCACAUGGCAUAGUUUUAUAUAUAUAUUUUUUACUUCUUUGUCUUCCAUAUAUGGUAACACACAAACAUGCAGUCUGAUUAAGUGAUCUCAUGUUACAAGGUCAUGAGCGAUAGUGUCACGUAUGCACAUAGCCAGGUUGCUCUGAGGUUUUUUUUCUUUCCUUAGAGAAGGGACCCUACCACAACACAAAAAGCACAUUCAACAAAGCAGGUAUAAACAAGGGGGACUACAUCAAACUAAAAAGCUUCUGCACAGUGAAGGGAACCAUCAACAGAAUGAAAAGGAGAAAAUAUUUGCAAACCAUAUAUCUGAUAAGAGGUUAACGUCUAAAAUAUGUAAGGAACUUACAUAAUUCAAUAGUGAACAAACCAGUAACUGGUUAAAAAUUGGACCAGGGCGCCAGAGUGGCUCAGUCGGCGUCCGACUCUUGAUUUCGGCUCAGGUCGUGAUCUCACGGUUUGUGAGUUCAAGCCCCAUGUUGGGCUCUGUGCUGACAGGACAGAGCCCACUUUGGAUUCUCUGUCUCCCUCCCUCCCUCUCUCUCUCUCUCUCUCUCUCUCUCUCUGCCCCUUCCCCACUUGUGCUCUCUCAAAAAAAAAAAAAGAAGAAGAAGAAGACCUGGAUAGACAGUUUCCCGGAAAACAGGUGCAUGAACAGGUUCUCAGCAUCACUCAUCAUCAAGGAAAUGCAAAUCGAAACCACAAUGAGAUACCACCUUCUAGGGGAGCAAAAUUUGCCACCCCAAAAUGUGUCUCUCUGGCAUGAGGAUUAAUUCAGGCUGAUUAGUUUUAAGGAACAGAAGACCCAGGAGCUUUUUCUUUUUACCUCUUUUUGAACUGCCUAAAAGAAUUUAGAUAGAGGACUUCGUCCAAGAAAAGAGCUAUACCAUCCCUAUAAUCACAGUGUAAUGCAAAGUCGGCGUGGUAGAUAGGGAGAGACCUAGCAAAGUGUUUGUUAAAAUUCCUCUGUGCUUCCUGUUGUGUCUUUAUGGCUCAGGAAACAUUUGUUUCCCAUUUAUUUUUUUUCAUUUUCCCGUGAAUGGCUUUCCUUCCCUUAGAAGUCUCAGACCCCUACCCCUUUCUCCUUCGUUCAGGAUGACGUACGUACGUCAUUUUGCCCAUCUUUGGAAUCUCUUAUGUUUAUGUGGAUUCUCUGUAGGUAUAUAAUUAAAUUCGGUUUUCUCCGAUUGCUCUAUCUUGUGUCAUUUUGAUUAUUCGGCCAACCAGCCAAAAGAACUCAGAGGUGAAGGGGGAAAUUUCCCUUUCUCCAACAACCUCACACCUGUGGGGAUGGCUACUAUCAAAUAGACGAGAGAGAACAGGCGGUGAGGAUGUGGAGAAAAGGGCACCCUCGUGCACUGUGGGUGGGAAUGUCAAUUGGUGCAGCCCCUGUGGAAAACAGUAUGGAGGUUCCCCCCAAAAUCAGAAAUUGAACUACUAUAUGAUCUAACAAUCCCACUUCUGGGUAUAUAUCUGAAGGAAAUGGAAUCAGUAUUUGGAAGAGAUAUCUGCACUCUGUGUUCAUUUCAGCAUUAUUCACAGUAGUCAGAACAUGGAAAUAACCUAAGCAUCUGUAGAUGGAUGAAUAGAUAAAGAGAAUUCAUCCAUCUACAGACGUCCGACAUAUAUAUAUAUAUGUAUAUGUACAUAUAUAUAUGUAAUGUGAGAGAUGUAUAAUGUGAGAUAUAUAUAUAUCUGCUGUCAUCUGUGACAACAUGGGUAAAACUGGAGGACAUUAUGCUAUGUGAAAUAAGCCAGACAGAGAAAGACAAAUACUAUAUGACCUCAUUCAUAUGUAGAAUGUAAAAAAAUUAAGUCAAACUCACAGAAACAGUUGAAUGGUGGUUGCCGGGGGCGGGGGGGCUGGGAAUCAGGGGAUGUUGGUCAAAAGAUAAAGAAGUUCUGGGAAUGUAAGGUUUGGUGUGGUGACUGCAGUUAAUAAUACUGUAUUGUAUACUUGACAUUCGCUAAGAGAGUAUAAUUAUUUUUCUUUUUUUCGGGUUUCAGAUAUUUAGUGAUUCUGUGCAUUUAGAGGGGACAUAUUUCCUGGAUAAGUGGCAAAUUGUGCAGAUGUCUUCUGGAAGACCUUCGUUGUAAGCAGCUUUAUGGUGAAACAUUUCAUUUCGAAGUCUGCACCUUCUUCCUUCAGCUUGCCGUGAUCUACGUUCACAGAAUAGAACCUGUAUUGAUUAUUGCGACCCAGUUUGCUCCAGGUUUCUGGAUUGAAUAAAUAUCAGGCGCAAGACCUACAGCGCUGCCCCAGUACCUCUAGCUCCACUAAAUACGAAGAGAGGGGUCAGGCUUGGCUGCUUCUCGGCACAUCUUGGAAGAUCUGGCGGAACGUGGUGGUGGCAGACGCCUAGGGUCUGGAAGGAGGGAAGAACGAAUCUGCAAGGCGCAGGUGCCCAGAGAAUAGAUCUGAAGCCUUCUUGCUACACACGGAAAAGGUAACUGUGUGAGGUGACGGAUGCGUUCAAAUUAACUUAAUUGUGGUCAUCGUUUCACAGUGUCUACGUAUAUCAAAUCGUAUUGCACACUUUAAGUAUAUACAAUAUUAUUUGUCCAUUAUAAUUAAAGCUGGGAAAAAUUAAAAAUAGUGUCAGAUCCAUCCAUUGAUGGUUCUGUUGAGCUGAACUAUCUCUUUACUGCUUGUCUGCCUACUGGAUCUGUCAGCUACUAAUAGAGGGAGUGUUGAAAUCCCUCACAUUAAUAGUGGAUUAUCUAUUUCUGCAUUUUUAUCAGUUUUUGCCUCUUGUAUUUUGACGCUUUGUUGUAAAGUGCGUAUAUUUCAGAGAUUAUUGUGUCUUCUUGGAGAAUUGACUCCCUUGUUAUGUAAUACCCUCUUUACCCCUGCUAAGUUUCUUGUUCCAGUGCCUUUUUUUGUCUGAAAUUCACGUAGCUACUCCAGCUUUCUUUUGACUCGUGCCGGCUCGGUUCACCUUGCCCUACCCUUUUACUUUUAAUGCAUAUGUGUUUUUAUAUUUCAAUUGGGUUUCUUGUGGACAGCAUAUAGCCGGGUCUUGUUUUGCAUCUACCCUUACGGUCUCUUCUUGCAAUUGGCAUAUCUAGACCACUCCCUUUUGAAGUGAUUACUGACACAGUUGGAUUUACAUCCACCAUGUUCGUGAAAAUUUUGUACCUGCUUCACUUAUUCUUUGUGUUCUUUUUAAUCUUCCUGUUUCUGCCCUCUCUUUUAAUUGAGCAUUUUUUAUUGUUCCAUUUUCUCUUCUCGCUCAGCGUAUCAGUUAUAUUUCUCUUUAACUUCUUGGUGGUUUCCCUAGACCUGGACUGCGCGACGUAAGUCUCCAACCAGUCCAGGUCCGCCUUCAGAUGACACUGCAGCGUGGGCGUAACGGACUUCGCAGCCUCUCACCCCAUCCCUUACUAACACUGCUACGUUUAUUGCGCUAACCUACCUGCUAUCACCGCGCAGUAUGUUGUGGCCGGUAUUCCUUUGAACAGUCGUCCAUUAGAUUAAGUAAGACUAAGAAAAAUAAAAUACGUGAUUUUGAUCUUCACGUGUUCCUUCUGUGACCCCUUUCCUUUCGUUUACGUAGAUCCAAAUUUCUGACCAACGCCAUGUUCCUUCUCUCUGAAGAGCAGCUUUUAACGCUUACCCGCAACGACAGUUCUCUCAGUUCUGUUAGCCUGAACGUUAUGGACUGAAUUGUGUUCCCCUCCAAAGUUGAUAUGUUGAAGCCGUGACUCCCAGCAUGACUGUAUUUGGAGACAGGGCCUUUAGAGAGGUGAUGAAUGUCCACCGUGGUGAUAAGGGUGGAGCCCGGCUGCAGUAUGACUGGCGUCCUCGUAAGAAAAGGAAGAGACGCCAGGGAUGGGCACUUACACAGAGGUAAGGCCAUGUGAGAAGACGGCCAUCUCCAAGCCAAGCGGAGAGGCCUCCGAAAAGGCAGCACUGAUCUUUGCACCUUGAUCAAAGCACCUUGAUCUUUGACUUUCAGUCUCCAGAACUGAGAGAAAAUAAUUUUGUUGUUUAAGCCCCCAGUUUGUGGUAUUUUGUUUUGGCGGCCCUAGCAGACUACUACACCAACAAAGUCUUUAUUUUCCCUUACUUCUGAAGGAUGGUUUUUCUGGAUAUAGACUCCUUGGUUGGUGGGGUUUUUUUUCCAACCCUUUAAAUAUUUCAUGCUACCCUCCUUGCUUGCAUGAUUUUUGAAGCAAGUCCGAUAGAAUUCUUACCUUUGUUCCCCUCUAGGUAAGAUGUUUUUCUUCUCUGACUUUUUAAAAGACUUUUCCUUGGCUUUAUGCAAUUUGAAUAUGAUCUGCCUAGGUGUGUGAGUGCGCACGUGCCUGUCUGUGUACGUGUGUGUAUUGGCGUUUAUUCUGUUUGGCGUUCUAUGAGAUUCCUCGAUUUGUGCUGUGGUUUCCGUCACGGAUUUUAGAAAAAUCCCAGCCAUUAUUAUGUCAAAUAGUUGCUUUUUCUCUUUCUUCUGCUUUUGACAGUCUCCUUAUACAUGUGCUGUGUUUUGGUGAUUGCCUCACAGUUAAUAGAUAGUCUGUCCCAAUUUUUAUUAUUUUUUCUCUUUACAACUCAGUUUGGGAAGUUUCUAUUGACCUAUCUUCAAGUGCUCGGAUUCUAUCCCCAGCCCUUUCCGAUCACCUGACGCGUCCAUCAGAUGAUGUAGACUUUUUCUGUUAUAGUGUUUUCUGUUUCUUGUAUUUCCUUUAUAUUCUUUCUUAGGGUUUCUGUCUCUCCGUUAUUAUAUGUACACUAUCUGUUCUUGCAUGUUGUCCACUUUUUCCAUUAAAGCCCUUAGCACAUGAAUCCUACUUCUUUAAUUUCCCAUCUGAUGAUUUCACAAUCUCUGCCGUAUCUGACUGAACCUGGUUCUGACACCCACUUUGUCCCUUCAGAUCGUUUCUUCUUCCCUUGUGUCAUGCCAUGUAACUUUUGUUGUUGUUGAAAGCCAGUCAUGAAUUAUCAGGUGUUAGGGAGUAAAUUGGCCGUUCGUAUGAGAGUUAUUUUUAUCUGGCUAGGAGAUAUGCUUUAUUUACUCUUUUCUGUACCUGUAGUGUCAGAGGAUUCAGUUUCCACGAGUGUCUUUGUUUUUUGUCCCCCAGCAUCUUUCGUUUCCCUAGACAACCCUUCUUAAGUAGAAUCUGAGCCUUGGCGCUCUCUGAGCAGUAAUCCACUGCUAUUCGGCAGGAGCCCUGUUGAUGUUUGCUCAGGUCUGGACUGAGAAGCAUCCUGUAAUCCUGGGAUUAGGUCUCAGUCGUUCAGUGUACCUGUCCCCCUGGGCUGGGAUCUUCUCCGGUGUUUCUCAGCUUUUUCCCCCCACCUUAUGUGAAGAAGGAAGGCUAUAGGGGGCCUGAAGUUUGGGAAUUUCCCUCACCCCAUGUCCAGGGAGGCUUCUCCCUUGCUGGGUAGGCCUUUCUUGUGGAGAAUGCUCUUGGCUUCUUUCAAAAUGGUUACCUCUCUCUCACCUCUCCCUGGCCCAACAGGAGGCAAUUUUGCUCUGACCGUUACCAAGAAAACCUGGUGAGGAUUCUAGAGGCAGACACCGUGAUGGUGGAGGGAAGGGCUACCUUAGAUGGCCCCCCUGCCAGGAGUUCUCUCAGGCCAGUCCAUGCUCAGCACCACCCCCCCAGCAGGUCAGGGAAGCUGCCAUGUAAGUUACUGCCUCGGGUUUGCUGAGUUGCAUUCAUGGUAACCUGUGGUUUCUAGAAUCCCCAGCUCCUUCAGGUUUGGGGUGUGGUUGGUCCCAUGAGCUCAGUUCUGUGACAUAUCCAGAAAGAGUCACUGGUUCUGUUUUCCUCGUUGUGAAGGUGGGUGAUGAGUUGCAAGCACUUUACGUGUUCGAGUCGAGUCUUUCCUUUGCGUUUUAGACAUUAUUUCCUUAGCUCUACGGACAUAUCUGGUAAAAGUCUUUAGUAAUCCCAUGCCUGUGCUUCCUUAGGGACAGUUCUCUUGAUUGCCCCCCGCCCCCCCCCCCCCCCCCCCCGCCAUACAUGGGCCAUACGUUCUAGAUUCUUCACGUGCCUCGUAAAAUUUUACUGAAAACUGGACAUUGUGAAUAUCAUAAUGUGGCAACUCUGGAAAUCAGAUUCCCCUCCUGGCAGGCUCCGUUGUCGCUGCCUGUUGUAGUUAUCGUUUAUUUAGGACUUCUCUGAAUUAAUUCUGCAAAGACUAUUUUUUGUAUAUGGCCACUGAAGGCUUAGCUUAGUUAGUGGUCGGCAAAUGGUGGACAGAGAUUUCCUUCAGUGCCUGGAACGCAUCAAUCUCCCGGUCAUUUCCGAGAGACUCAGUGUGUGUGUGGCUUUCAUCAUUCAGUCAGGCAGUUUACAAGUCUGUAGUAACCUUCACUAGCCUCAAGGUCAGCCAGGGUUGGGAAGUUAGGGCUUCCUCACACUUUCUUGAGCAUGCACAAUGCCCUAAACGUGUACUUGGCCUUCUAGAUUCCCAGGAAUAUGUCAGAACUUUUCGAAGCUCCUGUGGACUGUGGUGGCCCAACCGAUUCUGUUAAGCUUUGUGGUUAGUCUGGUAAACUUCCCUCAAAGGUUACCUUUCGCCUUAGGCAUCCCCCGCCCCAAACACUUUCCAGUGAAUGUUUUUGGCCAGUGCCCUCAAGAAGAGAUUUUUUUUUUUUUUUUUAGCAUUAGAGGAACUCCUAGUCAGUUCAAAUAAAGACGAGUCCUGGGAGGAAGGUCUUCCAGUGAUCCAUUAGGUUAAAUAAUGAAUAUUUGGGGGGAAUGAGGCUUUAAAAGACCACUCUGCUCCUUCCUAUACUGAAAGGGAGUACACAUAAUCCUGUAGACUAUGGAUUAUAAUGGACCUGGGGGGUAGGAAGAAUGGGGAGUAAUUGCUAACAAGUCGGAUUUCUUCUGAGCAUGAAGAAACAUUCUGAAAUUAGCGUUGAUGAGUGGCACAGCCUUGUGAAUAUACUAAAAACCACUGAAUUAUGCACUUUAAGAUGAUGUGUGAAAUAUGUCAAUAUAAACAAGAAUUGAAGUUCUGAUACAUGGGUGAACCUUGAAAAUAUGAUGCUAAGGGAAAGAAGCCACACAGAAUAGGCCUUAUAUUUUAUGAUCCCAUUUGUUAGGAAUGUCCAGAAUAUUGAAAUCCAUAGACAGAAAGUAGAUGAGUGGUUGCCAGUGGCUGGGGAAAGAGGAAGUGGUGAGUGAUUGCUAAUGGGUAUGAAGUUUCUUUUCGGGGUGAGGAAAAUGUUCUGGAAUCAGAUAGUGAGGAUUGAGGCACCAAUUUGCAGAUACAGUAUACUAAAAACCACUGAAUUGUACAUUUUAACAGGGUGAACAUCGUGGUAUAUGAAUUAUAUCAAUUAAAAAAUGUUGUUUUAAAGGAAAAUGUAAUGCCAUAGAGAGCAUAAAUGCGUUCAUGUAUUCAAAAAAUAUUUAUGGAGUAUGUACUGCUUAUCUGACCUGUCUAGGUACCAGGGACCAGGAAUUGAACAAAAGUCCUUCCCCUCAUGGCCUGGCAGGUGCAGUCUGAAGAGUGCGUGACUCUUCAUCUCGGGGUCGUGAGUUCGAGCCCCGCACUGGGUGUAGAGAUGAGUUAAAAAUAAAUCAGUAAAUAAACUUAAAAAAAGUCUUUCCCCUCCUGGACAGUAUAUUCUGGUAUUAGAAGAGAAGCAGUAAGAUAAAUAGCUAAGAACUAGGGUCUCGGGCAGUGCAAAGGGACAAAUAAAACAGGGAAGGAAGAGUGGUGUCAUUAGAUUUUAGACCACCUGAAUAAGCAGAUGGCAUUUUGGCAAAGAUCCGAAGGGUGGUCAAAAGGCGAGCCAUGAGAAUAUCUCAGGGAAGAGCCUUCCAGGCAGAGGGAGCAGCACGUGCAAAGGCCCUGAUGUGCAGCUGGGCGCGACAGUUGAGGAACAGCAGGGGGAGGAGCGUGGCUGGAGUGAAGAAGGUAGAAAGGGAGAAGGUAGGUGGAGUCGAAGCCAUAACAGUGGCGAAGGGGAAGGGCUCAGACUGCAUUGGUUCUCGCAGGCCACUGUCAGGAAUUAACUUUCAUCUUGCGCUCAGAGUGACCAGUGGGCUUUCCAGGGUCAGAAACUCCCAUCUGUCCCUUUCAGAUGAUAUAGGAGGUUCCUUUUUUGGAACAGGCUCUCCCUCCUUGGGCCACUAAGCCCCACGGCGAGUGCCAGCAUGAACACUGUGUUUAACAGAGUAUCAGAGAUUUCUCGGGACAUGUACAGUUAUGAGAUAAUGCAGACACUGGAAAACAGGAUCGUGCUUUUCACCAUCAAAGACUGUCACAGUCUGAUUGUGGAAGUCAGAUGGGGCGCAGUGUUCACUUAUUCUAGCCGUUGAUAUCAUCUCCUAGGGUCUCUGUACUCGAAGCUUUUGAUAAAGCCAGAGGCUGUUUGCAUCUUGCCGGUUGACCGAGCUGACAUGCUCAGCUUCCUGACGCGAGCUCCCCGGUUUGCCUCUGGCCCGGUUGCACUUUGUGCAUUUACUUUGUGCUACCCACUUCGUCUCUCCGCGGGCUGUGAAUUUCCCCCUGGGGGUGAAGAAAGGGUUCUGGAAAUAGUGAGGAUUGAUGCACAAAUUUGCAAGUCGACUAGAAACCCCUGCAUCGUACAUCGUAACAGGGUGAACAUCAUGGUAUGUGCAUUGUACCUCAAUAAGAAUGUUAUUUUUAAAAAGACAGAAUAAUGCCAUGGAGAGCAUAAAUCCGUUCAUAUAUUUUUAAAAUGCCCGUGGAGCAUUUACCGUUUACCUGCCAUUUAUUUCUAGGGACUGGGGACUGAGAACGGAACGAAAAUGCUUUCCCCGGUAGGCCAUAUAUUCUGGUAUUAGAAGAAAAGCAGGGAGGUCUCUUUUCUUAACAAUAUCUCCGAUCGCUUCUGUGAAUGACUCUGAAGCACACUCAGGAGUCUCCAAUAAUUUGUUCUCUGGUUUCCUGAUGGUGCUUCACGUAUGAUCUAGUCCGUUGUUCCUGCUCAUGAGGGUCCCGAAAGGCAACAAGUGAACUUCCCUCAAAACAGACCAACGCGGUGAUGCUUUGUUCAGAAUUGCCAAAACCUGGAAGGAACCAAGAUGUCCUUCAGCAGGUGAACGGGUGAAUAAGCUGUGGUACGGCCAGACGGUGAAAUAUUAUUUAGCAUUAAAAAGAAACGAGCUACCAAACCAUGAGAAGACAUGGAAGAACCUUAAAUGCAUUAUCACUGAGUGAAAAGGCCAGUCUGAAAAGGCUCCGUGCUGUAGGAUUUCCAGCUAUAGGACAUUCUGGAAAAGGCCAGACCGUGGAGACGGGAAAAAGAUCAGUGGUGGCCAAGGGUUGCGGGUCAGGGGAGGAGGAGUAGCCGGAGCACUAGAUUUUUCGGGCAGUGCAGCGACCCUGUGUGACACGUCGAUGAUGGCUGCGUGUCCCUGUACAUUGGUUCAAAUCCAUAGAAUGUACAGCAUUAAGAGCCGCCUGGUUGAUUCUCCAGACUCGUGUGGAGUCUCCUCCUCACUCCCGCUAUCCAGCCACAUGGCCUCUUCUAGAAAAUAUGAACCCUCCCCACCUCAGGAUCUUUGCCCAAAACCUCGCUCCUGGCGUAUUUCAUACUUAUUCUUCAGGAUCGGCUUUCAUGUCCCUCCCUCGGAGUGGCCUUUCUUGACCUCACAAACCUAAAUCUGAAUCUAUUAUAUUCUCUCUCCUUGUUCCGUGUUCCUUACAUGGACACACUUACCACCCUCUGUGGAUUUAUUAGUUUACUGUCCGCAUCCCCAGUUGGGUGGCAGAUUUCAUGAAUGUAAGGAAGGCACCUGCCGUGUUCGCUGAUGUAUUCCCAGCACGUAGCCCGGGGCCCGACGGGAGGAGGUGCUCAGUUGACCUGUCAAAUGCGGGAGUAAAUGAGUGGGCUCUGUGAGGUUGAUGUUAUUAGCUCAGAGUACUUCAGCUGCCACACAGCUAGCAAGGGGACAGAAAUGGAGGAGACCUCAGAAUUACAGUUCCUAGGUGAAUAUACCAUCUAGGAAAGUAUUUGCUAAGGGGAUGGAAAGUAGGGGUGGGGGGGUGUGGGGUGGGGGGGCGUGGACCUGGCAGGUGAGAAGAUUCCAGACCAGUGACUCUCAGGGAGAUGGCCCCAGGCGUGUUGGGGGGUGGGGGGAUGGGGUGAGAAUGUGCAAGAUGCAUAUUCAGUAUUUUACAUUUGUUGAAAAAUACCUUCUGUUUUCAUAAAACAGACCGCUGAAAGACUGUCCCUUCCCUGGCUGGGAAGGAAAAUAGGAAAUAGGGCGCCUUUUCCUCUAAGGGCAGAUUUUUCAGUUUCCCAGAAGGAAGCAGGUUUACAAGGCCAUGGGGAAACGGCUGCCCAAGGGCAUUCUCGCACUUACCUAAGCAGAGUGGAGGGCAGGAGGGCGCAGGCGAUGUCGGGCGCGGGCCUGCCAGGACCCUGUUCGCACAGGGAGAGCAGGUCGGGGUGACAGCACCCCACAAGCUGCACGCUCCACCCCCCAUCUCACAGACCGCCCUUCCCACCCUCCAGGCUGCACGUGGCUUCGACUCCCCACGCCCCUCCAACCACAGCCCCCACCCCUCCAUCCGCACCCAACCGCAGCUCCGUUUCACCCCCCAUCACCGCCAUAGGCUUCACAUCGGCCCAGUCUUGCCUCAUCCCACCGCCCAGACUAGUCUCGUCGCCCUCCUCUGCUGGGCGGCGGUGCCCGAGCUUGUCUGUGACACUAGCGUGCUGGCGUGUCCGUGAGGGACAGGCUCGAGGUUAACAGCCAUGCGAACGGGGAGAAGCCAACGUUGUGUGCAGUAGGGCCGGCAGCCGGGGUUGUGCUUGGACGGUUUGCUUUUGUUGUUCUUUGGCUUGGAUUGGGGGUGGGGGGCUGCUAUUUGGGCAUGUAGUGGUUUUUCUGUGUGCAUCUGUCUGUCAAUGUAUAGGUUCCAAAUCGUUUUUCUGGGAAAAGACCCUUAUUUUUCUAGAGUGAUUUGACCCAUUUUUGGUGAAAUGCAUUAACUUUCCCCUUUCGAAAGACUGAUGGGGAGGGAAUAAUGGGAAUGACUUCAUAUGCCAAAGAAAACAGAUAAGGUGUGAAGAGACGUUUUAUCAACAUUUAAAUCUCCACGUGCCGUUUUGGUUUUGUUUUUAAGAACUUCGCUAGGAAUGAAAUUGACUAAGUCAAAGAAUGUUAGAGCUGGAAGAAACUUUUGAAACGAAACCAGCUUCUCAUUAUUAUUUACGUAGAACAAGAGGCCCAGAGAGGGUAAGUGACUUGUCCAAAGUCACAGAGCACUUGAAUGCCGUUGGGGCUGAUUUCCAGCCUGGAGCUCAAGUGGGAAGCGCAGUAUCUCUCAGUGAAAAGACAGUCGUGUGAUUUUUAAAGAUUUUAUUCUAUUUUUUAUUGUAUGGUUAUUGUAAGAGAAGUUGGGAGAACUUAAUGUUUUAAUUUGCCUGGAGUUCCUACCACUUCAAAAUGAUCCUUGUGAGUAUUUUUGCUGUAUAAUUUUCCAGACUUUCUAAUGUAUGUGUAUCCUGGUAAAAAAAAAAAAGCGCCGUAUUUAUUAAAAUUGGUUCACACUGUGCACACUUCUUUGCAAUGUAAUUCGUAACAGAUGCAUAACUAUUGUAUUGAAUGGAUGUACUUUCAUUAACUUAAUCAGUCCCUAAGAUAGACAUAUAAGCUUUUUCAAAUGUUAAGCUCUUAUAAAAGAUGCUGCAUUAAAGAUUCCUG